RNAcentral lists this ribosomal RNA (430 nucleotides) under uncultured bacterium. RNAcentral describes it as "bacterial SSU rRNA". It matches the Rfam family "Bacterial small subunit ribosomal RNA", at positions 355 to 776 of the family's 1533-position model. The record is from RNAcentral.
UGGGGAAUAUUGCGCAAUGGGGGAAACCCUGACGCAGCGACGCCGUGUGAGGGAAGAAGGCCUUCGGGUCGUAAACCUCUGUCGGGAGGGAAGAACCGCCUAGGUUCGAAUAGGACUUGGGUCUGACGGUACCUCCAGAGGAAGCACCGGCUAACUCCGUGCCAGCAGCCGCGGUAAUACGGAGGGUGCAAGCGUUAAUCGGAAUCACUGGGCGUAAAGCGCUCGUAGGCGGCAUUGUAAGUCAGGCGUGAAAGCCCUCGGCUCAACCGAGGAACUGCGUUUGAUACUGCAGAGCUUGAGUAUCGGAGAGGGUGGCGGAAUUCCGGGUGUAGGAGUGAAAUCCGUAGAGAUCCGGAGGAACACCAGUGGCGAAGGCGGCCACCUGGACGAUAACUGACGCUGAGGAGCGAAAGCGUGGGUAGCAAACAGG